AGCAGUUGUAGUGGUUUUAGCAUUAGACUGCAACUCUGGAGACCAGGGUUCAAAUCCCUGCUCAGCCA
This 68-nucleotide transfer RNA is filed under the name Phrynosoma platyrhinos (Desert horned lizard). Its description in RNAcentral is "tRNA-OTHER". It matches the Rfam family "tRNA". Rfam says of the family: Transfer RNA (tRNA) molecules are approximately 80 nucleotides in length. Their secondary structure includes four short double-helical elements and three loops (D, anti-codon, and T loops). Lineage: Eukaryota; Metazoa; Chordata; Lepidosauria; Squamata; Phrynosomatidae. The record is from RNAcentral.